This is a non-coding RNA of Paramuricea clavata, 762 nucleotides long. The record is from the annotation of a GenBank genome assembly. NCBI's taxonomy places the organism in Eukaryota, Metazoa, Cnidaria, Anthozoa, Malacalcyonacea, Plexauridae.
CCAAUAUUUGUAAAAAUUGCACUCGAAUUUCAGUAUUGAAGUUAGGCCUACUAUGUUUUCGUGCAAUCUAAAUUUCUGGGUGUUACUAAAACAUGGUGUAAUAAUUGCAGCUCUGUAGACACCGAUUUGUUAGGGAAACACAAAAUAGAUUGACCAAUCGUUAUAGCUAGAUGUUUCAAAUAUAUACUUACUGGGAGUAUAUCUGGUGUUUGACUAACUUAAAAAUGGUAUAAACAUUUACACUAAAUCAGUGCGUACAGAGAUGCAAUUAUUUAUACCGCUUUCGUGUUGUGUACCAACAGCCAGUGCGUUAAAAUAUCAUCUACUUUAAAUUUUAAUUAAAACGUAUUGUUCCGCAAUAUCGCAUACCACAAACAAAUACAUCGUAAACAACUGAACAUAAACCAGCAAUAAAUACCAAGUUACGACUUUAAAUUAUGUUGUAAUUGUAUUAUAGUAUUUAGAAAAGAUCUGACAGGUGGCGCAUUUGCUUGAGUUCGUCGAAUCGUUGGCGAAUAUUACUAAUAUACAUCCAACUAUAACCAUGCAUGUUGCGAAGCAUAGUAUAACCGAGUCACGGGCUCGCGACUUCCGUAUGAUAUUGCAAUAAAGAAUGACCAAUUGUACAAGUUUAUAGUCUACUUACAUAGUCAAAUGUCUAAUGGUGAUAUUGCAUAAAGCAGAAGUUGGCAGGUGGAUCUGUGACAUGCUAUUUCCCCGAAAUACGUAGCACGAAUGAAGAACGUAACAUGAACUCUCGAA